Molecule: ribosomal RNA, 498 nt
Filed under: Salmonella enterica
Lineage: Bacteria; Pseudomonadati; Pseudomonadota; Gammaproteobacteria; Enterobacterales; Enterobacteriaceae
Description: partial 23S ribosomal RNA
Rfam family: Bacterial large subunit ribosomal RNA
Source: RNAcentral
GAAUAUGGGGGGACCAUCCUCCAAGGCUAAAUACUCCUGACUGACCGAUAGUGAACCAGUACCGUGAGGGAAAGGCGAAAAGAACCCCGGCGAGGGGAGUGAAAAAGAACCUGAAACCGUGUACGUACAAGCAGUGGGAGCCCCACCACCAAAGCAUUCUCUGGUGUUGAAGGCCCUGCAAAGCAGCAUCGCGGUGGCGGAGCGUCGUUUGCGACGCCCAACACACAAAACAAGCGGUGAGUGCUUUGGGGUGGGGUGACUGCGUACCUUUUGUAUAAUGGGUCAGCGACUUAUAUUCUGUAGCAAGGUUAACCGUAUAGGGGAGCCGGAGGGAAACCGAGUCUUAACCGGGCGUUAAGUUGCAGGGUAUAGACCCGAAACCCGGUGAUCUAGCCAUGGGCAGGUUGAAGGUUGGGUAACACUAACUGGAGGACCGAACCGACUAAUGUUGAAAAAUUAGCGGAUGACCUGUGGCUGGGGGUGAAAGGCCAAUCAAAC